UGGACUGAAGGGAGCUCCCU
RNAcentral lists this small nuclear RNA (20 nucleotides) under Arabidopsis thaliana (thale cress). RNAcentral's name for it is "snRNA_17574". The record is from RNAcentral. Lineage: Eukaryota; Viridiplantae; Streptophyta; Magnoliopsida; Brassicales; Brassicaceae.